UUAGCCAGGAUCCUAUUUUACCAAGGAAAGAAUCAUCUGUUGAGUAUUAUCAUAGUUUUUAGAGCUGGAAAGGUUCCUAGAUCUAGUCCAAAACACUAAUUUUAUAGAUGAAGAAACUGAGGCUCAGAAAGCUGAAAAAGCAGUAUAUUUGUACUGUAACAGGUUUCAGAGAAACAUCUCUACUAUUCAUCAUUUUGCCCGUUAGCCUUAAUGUACUACAGACUUUUGGGACUAUAUUUUUAUUUUUAAUAUUUAAAAAAUCAUUAAGGUAGAAAGUGAUUUGUAUGCUUAUCACUUUAAGCAAAAAGAGUGAGGUUGUCAGUGGGCUUGAUAAACAGUUUUAAAGAACACAGUAGCUAGAAGAUUGUGGAAUAAAUAACUGAGAACGAGAUGUCACAUCUCGACUGCAUCUGUUUUUUAUCUGCUCGAAGACACUUUGAGGAAAUCUCGGAAAGGAGCUUUCUCUUUAUUGGCCUAUUUCAUGGCACACCACAGACUUCGAAGAAUUAAAAUUGCAGGUCACCCAAAGGGCAAUGCAAAAGCACAUGGUGCCUGUGAGUAUGCUACAACAUAUUACGAAUGAAGAACGGCUCUGGAGGAGUGGCGCCAGAAAAACCAUCUGAAAGAUGCGUGGCCCCCAAAAGAGGGGCUGGGACCUCCUUAAUCCACAACUUCACAGAAUCUGAGUUCCAGAGGACCUCAAAAGAUAUGUCAUUCAAAUGGAUGUCUGAGUUGGACUUGAUGGCCUUGAAGUUCCCUUUAAAGUUUUGAGAUUGGUUCUAUAAUUUCCCAGAUGCUAUCACAAUCCAAAAGAAUACUGGUAAUUUGACCGGUAUGUGUCAAAAAACCCCACAAGAUUUCUAAAAUCUUAAAGAAUUGAAUAUCAUUGUCUAAAAGAAUGGUUACAAUCGUGGUCAUAACCCAAACGAAGCAACCAAUAAAAAGAUUCAUAUUUCUUUUGAAAUCA
This is a long non-coding RNA of Antechinus flavipes (yellow-footed antechinus), 967 nucleotides long. RefSeq lists it as uncharacterized. The transcript has 3 exons. The record is from RefSeq and is a predicted model, not a curated record. Lineage: Eukaryota; Metazoa; Chordata; Mammalia; Dasyuromorphia; Dasyuridae.